RNAcentral lists this ribosomal RNA (693 nucleotides) under uncultured Fusobacterium sp. RNAcentral describes it as "bacterial SSU rRNA". It matches the Rfam family "Bacterial small subunit ribosomal RNA", at positions 33 to 739 of the family's 1533-position model. Lineage: Bacteria; Fusobacteriati; Fusobacteriota; Fusobacteriia; Fusobacteriales; Fusobacteriaceae. The record is from RNAcentral.
ACGCUGACAGAAUGCUUAACACAUGCAAGUCAACUUGAAUUUGGGUUUUUAACUUAGAUUUGGGUGGCGGACGGGUGAGUAACGCGUAAAGAACUUGCCUCACAGCUAGGGACAACAUUUAGAAAUGAAUGCUAAUACCUGAUAUUAUGAUUUUAAGGCAUCUUAGAAUUAUGAAAGCUAUAAGCACUGUGAGAGAGCUUUGCGUCCCAUUAGCUAGUUGGAGAGGUAACAGCUCACCAAGGCGAUGAUGGGUAGCCGGUCUGAGAGGGUGAACGGCCACAAGGGGACUGAGACACGGCCCUUACUCCUACGGGAGGCAGCAGUGGGGAAUAUUGGACAAUGGACCGAGAGUCUGAUCCAGCAAUUCUGUGUGCACGAUGAAGUUUUUCGGAAUGUAAAGUGCUUUCAGUUGGGAAGAAAGAAAUGACGGUACCAACAGAAGAAGUGACGGCUAAAUACGUGCCAGCAGCCGCGGUAAUACGUAUGUCACGAGCGUUAUCCGGAUUUAUUGGGCGUAAAGCGCGUCUAGGUGGUUAUGUAAGUCUGAUGUGAAAAUGCAGGGCUCAACUCUGUAUUGCGUUGGAAACUGUAUAACUAGAGUACUGGAGAGGUAAGCGGAACUACAAGUGUAGAGGUGAAAUUCGUAGAUAUUUGUAGGAAUGCCGAUGGGGAAGCCAGCUUACUGGACAGAUA